UCGGGAAUAUUGCGCAAUGGAGGAAACUCUGACGCAGUGACGCCGCGUGCAGGAAGAAGGUUUUCGGAUUGUAAACUGCUUUAGACAGGGAAGAAAAAAGACAGUACCUGUAGAAUAAGCUCCGGCUAACUACGUGCCAGCAGCCGCGGUAAUACGUAGGGAGCAAGCGUUAUCCGGAUUUAUUGGGUGUAAAGGGUGCGUAGACGGGAAGACAAGUUAGUUGUGAAAUCCCUCGGCUUAACUGAGGAACUGCAACUAAAACUAUUUUUCUUGAGUGCUGGAGAGGAAAGUGGAAUUCCUAGUGUAGCGGUGAAAUGCGUAGAUAUUAGGAAGAACACCAGUGGCGAAGGCGACUUUCUGGACAGUAACUGACGUUGAGGCACGAAAGUGUGGGGAGCAAACA
Molecule: ribosomal RNA, 403 nt
Filed under: uncultured bacterium
Lineage: Bacteria
Description: bacterial SSU rRNA
Rfam family: Bacterial small subunit ribosomal RNA
Source: RNAcentral